UACGAAGGACCCGAGCGUUAUCCGGAUUCAUUGGGUUUAAAGGGUGCGUAGGCGGAUUGAUAAGUCAGUGGUGAAAGCCCAUCGCUUAACGAUGGAACUGCCAUUGAUACUGUCGAUCUUGAGUACAUUUGAAGUGGGCGGAAUGUGUCAUGUAGCGGUGAAAUGCUUAGAUAUGACACAGAACACCGAUUGCGAAGGCAGCUCACUAAACUGUAACUGACGCUGAGGCACGAGAGCGUGGGGAUCAAACAGG
RNAcentral lists this ribosomal RNA (253 nucleotides) under uncultured bacterium. Its description in RNAcentral is "partial 16S ribosomal RNA". It matches the Rfam family "Bacterial small subunit ribosomal RNA", at positions 524 to 776 of the family's 1533-position model. The record is from RNAcentral.